GACGAACGCUGGCGGCGUGCUUAACACAUGCAAGUCGAACGAUGAAGCCCAGCUUGCUGGGCGGAUUAGUGGCGAACGGGUGAGUAAUACGUGAGUAACCUGCCUUUAACUCUGGGAUAAGCCUUGGAAACGAGGUCUAAUACCGGAUACGACCAACCCUCGCAUGAGGUGUUGGUGGAAAGGGAUUUUGUACUGGUUUUAGAUGGGCUCACGGCCUAUCAGCUUGUUGGUGAGGUAACGGCUCACCAAGGCGACGACGGGUAGCCGGCCUGAGAGGGUGACCGGCCACACUGGGACUGAGACACGGCCCAGACUCCUACGGGAGGCAGCAGUGGGGAAUAUUGCACAAUGGGCGCAAGCCUGAUGCAGCGACGCCGCGUGAGGGACGACGGCCUUCGGGUUGUAAACCUCUUUCAGCAGGGGAGAAGCGAAAGUGACGGUACCUGCAGAAGAAGCGCCGGCUAACUACGUGCCAGCAGCCGCGGUAAUACGUAGGGCGCGAGCGUUGUCCGGAAUUAUUGGGCGUAAAGAGCUUGUAGGCGGUUUGUCGCGUCUGCUGUGAAGCCCGGGGCUUAACCCCGGGUUUGCAGUGGGUACGGGCAGACUAGAGUGCAGUAGGGGAGACUGGAAUUCCUGGUGUAGCGGUGAAAUGCGCAGAUAUCAGGAGGAACACCAAUGGCGAAGGCAGGUCUCUGGGCUGUAACUGACGCUGAGAAGCGAAAGCAUGGGGAGCAAACAGGAUUAGAUACCCUGGUAGUCCAUGCCGUAAACGUUGGGCACUAGGUGUGGGGAACAUUCCACGUUUUCCGCGCCGUAGCUAACGCAUUAAGUGCCCCGCCUGGGGAGUACGGCCGCAAGGCUAAAACUCAAAGAAAUUGACGGGGGCCCGCACAAGCGGCGGAGCAUGCGGAUUAAUUCGAUGCAACGCGAAGAACCUUACCAAGGCUUGACAUAUACUAGACCGCCUCAGAGAUGGGGUUUCCCUUCGGGGCUGGUAUACAGGUGGUGCAUGGUUGUCGUCAGCUCGUGUCGUGAGAUGUUGGGUUAAGUUCCGCAACGAGCGCAACCCUCGUUCUAUGUUGCCAGCACGUAAUGGUGGGGACUCAUAGGAGACUGCCGGGGUUAACUCGGAGGAAGGUGGGGAUGACGUCAAAUCAUCAUGCCCCUUAUGUCUUGGGCUUCACGCAUGCUACAAUGGCUGGUACAAAGGGUUGCGAUACUGUGAGGUUGAGCUAAUCCCAAAAAGCCGGUCUCAGUUCGGAUUGGGGUCUGCAACUCGACCCCAUGAAGUCGGAGUCGCUAGUAAUCGCAGAUCAGCAACGCUGCGGUGAAUACGUUCCCGGGCCU
Molecule: ribosomal RNA, 1347 nt
Filed under: uncultured bacterium
Lineage: Bacteria
Description: bacterial SSU rRNA
Rfam family: Bacterial small subunit ribosomal RNA
Source: RNAcentral